AGCGAACGCUGGCGGCAGGCCUAACACAUGCAAGUCGAACGAACCCUCCGUGGUUAGUGGCGGACGGGUGAGUAACACGGGGGAACGUGCCGUUAGGUACGGAAUACCUCAGGGUAACUUGUGCUAAUACCGAAUGUGCCCUUCGGGGGAAAGAUUUGUCGGCCUUAGAGCGGCCCGCGACCGUUUAGCCAGUUGGUUGAGGUAAUGGCGCUGCAAGGUGAGGUACUGUACCUGGUCAGAGCGGAAGAGCAGCCACAUUGGGAGUGAGACACGGCCCAAAAUCCUGCGGGAGGGGGCAGAGGGGAAUCUUGCGCAAUGGGCGAAAGGCUGACGCAGCCAUGCCGCGUGAAUGAUGUAGGUCUUAGGAUUAUAAAAUUCUUUCACCGGGGACGAUAAUGACGGUACCCGGAGAAGAAGCCCCGGCUAACUUCGUG
Molecule: ribosomal RNA, 434 nt
Filed under: uncultured bacterium
Lineage: Bacteria
Description: partial 16S ribosomal RNA
Rfam family: Bacterial small subunit ribosomal RNA
Source: RNAcentral